ACUCCUACGGGAGGCAGCAGUGGGGAAUAUUGGACAAUGGGCGAAAGCCUGAUCCAGCCAUGCCGCGUGUGUGAAGAAGGUCUUCGGAUUGUAAAGCACUUUAAGUUGGGAGGAAGGGCAGUAAGCUAAUACCUUGCUAUUUUGACGUUACCGACAGAAUAAGCACCGGCUAACUUCGUGCCAGCAGCCGCGGUAAU
RNAcentral lists this ribosomal RNA (197 nucleotides) under uncultured bacterium. Its description in RNAcentral is "partial 16S ribosomal RNA". It matches the Rfam family "Bacterial small subunit ribosomal RNA", at positions 335 to 524 of the family's 1533-position model. The record is from RNAcentral.